GCCGGGUGCGAUGGCUCACACCUGUAAUCCCAGCACUUUGGGAGGCCGAGGCGGGUGGAUCACCUGAGGUCAGGAGUUCGAGACCAGCCUGGCCAACAUGGUGAAACCCUGUCUCUA
Macaca mulatta (Rhesus monkey) is the source of this 117-nucleotide unclassified non-coding RNA. It matches the Rfam family "Metazoan signal recognition particle RNA". Rfam says of the family: The signal recognition particle (SRP) is a universally conserved ribonucleoprotein. It is involved in the co-translational targeting of proteins to membranes. NCBI's taxonomy places the organism in Eukaryota, Metazoa, Chordata, Mammalia, Primates, Cercopithecidae. The record is from Ensembl.